This 326-nucleotide ribosomal RNA is filed under the name uncultured eukaryote. Its description in RNAcentral is "partial 18S ribosomal RNA". It matches the Rfam family "Eukaryotic small subunit ribosomal RNA", at positions 1470 to 1796 of the family's 1831-position model. The record is from RNAcentral.
CCCUUAGAUGUCCUGGGCCGCACGCGCGCUACACUGAACGGAUCAGCGCGUUUUCCCUUCCCGAGAGGGACGGGUAACCUGCUGAACCCCGUUCGUGGUAGGGAUCGGGGCUUGCAAUUAUUCCCCGUGAACCAGGAAUGCCUAGUAAGUGCAAGUCAUAAGCUUGCGUUGAUUACGUCCCUGCCCUUUGUACACACCGCCCGUCGCUACUACCGAUUGAACGUUUUAGUGAGGUACUCGGACUGAGCCUCAGAAGAUUCACGUCUUUUGUGCUGCUCGGGAAGAUUCCCAAACUUGAGCGUUUAGAGGAAGUAAAAGUCGUAACA